GGCAAGUUUUCUAUAUGUACGCUAUCGUAAUACGUGAAGUCUUGCUUGAGAAUGCUCUGGGCACUUGGCUGUGGAAGGUAGAAUGGAAAUUGCAACAACAAAAUCCUAAUUCUAAUAGAAUACUAACAAUGCUCUAAUUAGACCAUAAUAAUGCUAAGCAAGUUUUAAUCAAAUUCAAAGAAACUUCAAAUAAAUUUCAAAGAAAUAAUAAAAAACCUUAAAAAAAUAUUAGAAUGAUCACAAAUAUAUCUCAAAUACAUCUUAAUUCAAUCUUAAUUUAAUCUUAGUUAAAAUUAUAUUGGACUUCAUUCAAACUUUAGGCCAAACCUAAUUAAAUCUUAAACCCUAAACAAAUCCUAAUAAAAUCCUAAAUCCUAAAUCAAAUCCUAAAUCCUAAUCAAAUCCAAAAUCUUAAAUCAAACCUUAAUCAAAUCCUAAACCAAACCCUAAGCCCUAAACCAAAUCCUAACUAAACUCUAAAUCCUAAAUGAAAUCCUAACCAAACUCUAAAUCCUAAACCAAAUCCUAAACCAAAUCCUAAAUCCUAAAUCAAAUCCUAAAUCAAACCCUAAAUCAAAUCCUAAAUCCUAAAUCAAAUCCUAACCAAACUCUAAAUCUAAACCAAACUCUAAUCAAACCUUGAAUCCUAAACCAAAUUCCAACCAAACCUUAAACCAAAUCCUAAACCCUAAACAAAUCUUAAACCAAAUCCUAAAUCCUAAAUCAAAUCCUAACCAAAUUCUAACCCUAAAUAAAAUCCUAACCAAACUCUAAACCCUAAACCAAAUCCUAACCAAAUUCUAAAUCCUAAACUAAAUCCUAAUCAAAUCCUAGUAAUUUCUACAACAGAUUUAAAC
Molecule: long non-coding RNA, 857 nt
Filed under: Physcomitrium patens
Lineage: Eukaryota; Viridiplantae; Streptophyta; Bryopsida; Funariales; Funariaceae
Description: long non-coding RNA (PPAT_LNC012554)
Source: RNAcentral